RNAcentral lists this ribosomal RNA (113 nucleotides) under uncultured bacterium. RNAcentral describes it as "partial 16S ribosomal RNA". It matches the Rfam family "Bacterial small subunit ribosomal RNA", at positions 1360 to 1482 of the family's 1533-position model. The record is from RNAcentral.
CGGUGAAUACGUUCCCGGGCCUUGUACACACCGCCCGUCAAGCCAUGGGAGUUGGGGUACCUAAAGUCCAUCACCGUAAGGAGUGGCCUAGGGUAAAACCGAUGACUGGGGCU